RNAcentral lists this ribosomal RNA (589 nucleotides) under Marinobacter vinifirmus. Its description in RNAcentral is "bacterial SSU rRNA". It matches the Rfam family "Bacterial small subunit ribosomal RNA", at positions 848 to 1421 of the family's 1533-position model. The record is from RNAcentral. Lineage: Bacteria; Pseudomonadati; Pseudomonadota; Gammaproteobacteria; Pseudomonadales; Marinobacteraceae.
GCAGCUAACGCACUAAGUUGACCGCCUGGGGGAGUACGGCCGCCAAGGGUUAAAAACUCAAAAUGAAAUUGACGGGGGGCCCCGCACAAGCGGUGGGAGCAUGUGGUUUAAAUUCGAAUGCAAACGCGAAAGAACCUUACCCAUGCCUUGACAUCCCGAGAACUUUCCAGAGAUGGAUUGGUGCCUCGGGAAACUCUGAGACAGGUGCUGCAUGGCUGUCGUCAGCUCGUGUUGUGAGAUGUUGGGUUAAGUCCCGUAACGAGCGCAACCCUUAUCCUUGGUUGCUAGCACGUAAUGGUGAGAACUCCAGGGAGACUGCCGGUGACAAACCGGAGGAAGGUGGGGAUGACGUCAGGUCAUCAUGGCCCUUACGGCCAGGGCUACACACGUGCUACAAUGGUGGGUACAGAUGGGAAGCCAACUCGCGAGAGUGAGCCAAUCCCAUAAAGCGCGUCGUAGUCCGGAUUGGAGUCUGCAACUCGACUCCAUGAAGUCGGAAUCGCUAGUAAUCGUGGAUCAGAAUGCCGCGGUGAAUACGUUCCCGGGCCUUGUACACACCCCCCGUCUCACCAUGGGAGUGGGUUGCACC